Molecule: ribosomal RNA, 253 nt
Filed under: uncultured bacterium
Lineage: Bacteria
Description: partial 16S ribosomal RNA
Rfam family: Bacterial small subunit ribosomal RNA
Source: RNAcentral
UACGGAAGGUCCGGGCGUUAUCCGGAUUUAUUGGGUUUAAAGGGAGCGUAGGCCGCAUGUCAAGCGUGCUGUGAAAUGUCCGGGCUCAACCCGGGCCUUGCAGCGCGAACUGGCGUGCUUGAGUCCGCGGAAAGCAGGCGGAAUUCGUCGUGUAGCGGUGAAAUGCUUAGAUAUGACGAAGAACCCCGAUUGCGAAGGCAGCUUGCUGCAGCGGAACUGACGCUGAUGCUCGAAAGCGCGGGUAUCGAACAGG